This 435-nucleotide ribosomal RNA is filed under the name uncultured bacterium. RNAcentral describes it as "partial 16S ribosomal RNA". It matches the Rfam family "Bacterial small subunit ribosomal RNA", at positions 29 to 507 of the family's 1533-position model. The record is from RNAcentral.
AGCGAACGCUGGCGGCAGGCUUAACACAUGCAAGUCGAACGGGCAUCUUCGGAUGUCAGUGGCAGACUGGUGAGUAACACGUGGGAACGUACCCUUCGGUUCGGAAUAACUCAGGGAAACUUGAGCUAAUACCGGAUACGCCCUUUUGGGGAAAGGUUUACUGCCGAAGGAUCGGCCCGCGUCUGAUUAGCUUGUUGGUGGGGUAACGGCCUACCAAGGCGACGAUCAGUAGCUGGUCUGAGAGGAUGAUCAGCCACACUGGGACUGAGACACGGCCCAGACUCCUACGGGAGGCAGCAGUGGGGAAUAUUGGACAAUGGGCGCAAGCCUGAUCCAGCCAUGCCGCGUGAGUGAUGAAGGCCUUAGGGUUGUAAAGCUCUUUUGUCCGGGACGAUAAUGACGGUACCGGAAGAAUAAGCCCCGGCUAACUUCGUG